Molecule: long non-coding RNA, 821 nt
Filed under: Penaeus japonicus
Lineage: Eukaryota; Metazoa; Arthropoda; Malacostraca; Decapoda; Penaeidae
Description: uncharacterized LOC122242601
Source: RNAcentral
AGGGUGGCUUUAGGAACAGCUCUGAUGGCAAAGGAUUUGGAUUGGCACAGGAUGCAGCUACAAAAACUCUAACUCCAACCCCUUUGGUCACUUGCACAUCAGAUCUAUCGGAUAAUGUGCAGCACCGACCUGGCUGGCAAAGACUUUUCCUCUGUCUUCCGUUUUAUAAAAGGAAAUGAGGAAGAGUAAAGCGUAGAAAGAUUUAAUUAAAUCAGAUUUAUUUUGUGGCACAGAUUUUGGAGUUAGUGGAACAUUGUAGUCUGGUUAAAAAAAAAAAAGGCAGUUUGCUGUAUUUUUAAAAGAAUCAAUUGCAUUAAGACUUUAUUCAUUGAUUUAGGCAGCUCUUUUUUUUAGUCCAAUGGUGUUAUAUAUUAUGUUGAGUUUGUAUACAUUCAGAUGAAGAAAAUUAUUGCCUUAUGGUGAAUCUUUUAGUUCCAUGUAUUCUAAAGGAAUUAAAUGUAAUGAAAUGAGAGAUUUUUUUUUUUUUUUUUUUUAGGGAGGGUUUUUUUUUUAAUUCUACUGUAUUGGCCAUCAUCCGCAUAAUACAAAUGAAAAUGGCCCAAUUCCUAUUCUACAGGUGUUGAAUGUCUGUCCAGAAUCCACUUAACUGAAGAAAAAAGAAAUCAGUGGUAUUUGAUAGAUUAUUUUUAUAUAUGUAUUCAAGUCACUCAAAAUUUAGUGUUUAUUUAGAAUUGUGCAAAUAGGUUAUUGAGAACAAAACCACAAUUUGGAUGUAAACAUGAAGUUUGCAAAGCCCAAAUGUUCACAACUACUACAGGGACUACGAAACAAACUUGUCUAUUGUUUUUUUUUUUUUUUUU